GUUUCAUGCUAAUAUCAUUUAUGAUACAAACAUUCAGCCAAGGAUUUACACACACUAACCAGUCGUAUUAAAGUUUUAAAGUUGAAAAAGAAAAUUGCUGAAGUAUUCUAUGCUGGAAUAAAAGAAAUUACAUAGCCAGUAUUGGUAUCCAUAAAGUCUAGGUUGAAUAAAGGGGGUGUUGAAAAGUUCCUGGUAUUGGGUAAAAGAAAAUACAGGAGGAUCAGUUAAUUUGAUAUUUCAAAUUGAUAAAACAGAUAUGGCUUACAAACAGAAAAUGGAGAAAAGCUAAAGUUUGCUAUUUCAACUUGAAUGAAAAUCCUUAAGACACAGAAAAUAAGAUUUCAUUAUGUUAUCACACAACACUUUAUUUGAAAAGUAAAGUAGAGGCAAUACAGCUUGUCCUGAUUACUACCCUAAUAUAUUAA
Octopus bimaculoides (California two-spot octopus) is the source of this 425-nucleotide long non-coding RNA. The record is from RefSeq and is a predicted model, not a curated record. NCBI's taxonomy places the organism in Eukaryota, Metazoa, Mollusca, Cephalopoda, Octopoda, Octopodidae.